The sequence is a ribosomal RNA, 601 nucleotides long. It matches the Rfam family "Bacterial small subunit ribosomal RNA", at positions 83 to 698 of the family's 1533-position model.
UGGGGUGGAUGAGUGGCGAACGGGUGAGUAACACGUGAGUAACCUGCCCCUGACUUCGGGAUAAGCCCGGGAAACUGGGUCUAAUACCGGAUACGACCUGCUCUCGCAUGAGAGUGGGUGGAAAGUUUUUUCGGUUGGGGAUGGGCUCGCGGCCUAUCAGUUUGUUGGUGAGGUAAUGGCUCACCAAGACGACAACGGGUAGCCGGCCUGAGAGGGCGACCGGCCACACUGGGACUGAGACACGGCCCAGACUCCUACGGGAGGCAGCAGUGGGGAAUAUUGCACAAUGGGGGAAACCCUGAUGCAGCGACGCACCGUGCGGGAUGACGGCCUUCGGGUUGUAAACCGCUUUCAGCAGGGAAGAAGCGAGAGUGACGGUACCUGCAGAAGAAGUACCGGCUAACUACGUGCCAGCAGCCGCGGUAAUACGUAGGGUACGAGCGUUGUCCGGAAUUAUUGGGCGUAAAGAGCUCGUAGGUGGUUGGUCACGUCUGCUGUGGAAACGCAACGCUUAACGUUGCGCGUGCAGUGGGUACGGGCUGACUAGAGUGCAGUAGGGGAGUCUGGAAUUCCUGGUGUAGCGGUGAAAUGCGCAGAUAUC